AACGCUAGCGGCGCUGAAACCGGGCCCGCCCCGGAGGGUUCUGGGAGGAUGAGUUCCACUUUCUCCCUAGGCUGCUGCAGUCCGAGUUCCCUUUCCUCCAUCAGAAAGCCAGGGUUUUCGGAGGCUCCAUUCCACAAGCAUUAAGGAGGAGAACUCCCGGCUGGGUCUCACAGUGAAACUCCCCAUCUGAAGAAGAGCUGUUGUACAGGAGAGCUGCAAAUACCUUCCUUUUUUCUCAGAAACUGGGGGUUCCUCUGACCUUCUCCCUUGGGAUGGAGUGUGUUGGCUAAGCUCAUUCACCAGAGCCGAGGGAACCGGGGGCCUUAGCCAGGGUCAAAAGCUGUGGUACAAACGGCAGGAAGAGCUGAGAUUGGAGAAUCUGCAGUGGGAGGUAGAGCUGCAUAUUAAUAAGGAAAACCAGUAAACCCACCAAGGACCUCAGAGCAAAAUGGAGAUGGUGGUAAAAACAUGAGUUUCUAGAAUGAGAAAUUAACCUCCCUUCCCCACUCCGUUCCCCCUGCACCCUCCCCAACCCCUUCCCCUAAUCCAUGAAAGCACUGCGGAGAAGUUCUAGAGCAGGAAGCUCAAAUGCCCCCCAGAGAAAUCCCCUUUUUGGACCUCCCUGUCUUCAAAGGUACCCCCAAUCUAGAGCUAAGUAUGGGCCAGUCCCUUUUAGUAAAGCAUACUGUAGUGGGAGGAGCACUGGAUUUGAAGUCAGAAUACGUGGGAAUAAAUCCUCAUUUUGGCCUAAUGGCCUAUAUGAUUUCCAUCUCUCUGGGCCUCACUUUUCUCAUUGAUAAAAUGAGAAUCUUUAAAAUCCUUCUAGCACCAAAGCUAUAAUGUUUUAAUAAUGCUUUAAAAAAGGCUGUUAAAUAGGAGAGAAGAGAUGAAAUGUCAUGUUGUGUGUGUUUGUGGACAACAAGGCUAGAUGGGUUGGCUAUCGACUGCAUGAGAGUAACUAAUGAAUAAUAAGGUUGGAAAGGUGGGCUGAGACCAGAUUGUGAAGGGCUUAAAUAUCUAAUAGCUUGUAUGCACAGAGCUAUUUGCAUAUUGUCUUCCCCAUUAGAGACAUAGGAAUGCCUUGUGAUCAGACACUGUGUCUUGCUUUCCUUUGAAUCUCCAGUACUAUGUCUGGUUUAUAGUAGGCAAUUAAUAUAUACUAGUUGACUAUGUGACUCACAACUCCAAGUUGGGUAACAAAAGUAUUACUGGUAUUGAAAUAAUAUCAAUGUUGAUGUGGUAUACCAGUUCUGAAAUGAUGGUGAUAUUAUAUAUACAUAUCAAUGUAAUAUGUCAUCAUGUUAUGAUAUGACUCAUACCAUCAAGAAAAUAACUAAUAGUUACUUAGAGUACAUAGAGGAUCUUAGUAAUAAUAACUAGCAUUUGUAUAGUGAUGAUGGGUCAGGGACUAUGCUAACCACUUUACAAAUAUUAUCUCAUUUAAUCCUUACAAAAACCCUGGGAGGUAGAUGAUAUUAUUACUUCCACUUUAUAGUUGAGGAAACUGAAAAUAAAAAGACUUCCAGGGCCACACAGCUAACACAUAGGAGAGGCUCAGUUCCAGAACUCUCUCUACUUUGCCACUUAACUGCCUCUAGAUCUUGGAAUGAGGAAGCCUCAAGCUCAGAUUUUUAGUCUGAUACGUACUGGCUAUGUGGCCAUAGACAAAUCAUUUAACUUCUCAGUGUUCUGGGCAAUUCUUUUGAGGCUAGAAAUUACAGAUGAGUUUUUCAUCUGUAUAACUGGAGAAAAUUGUCUGUACAAAAAAUUCCCAUAUUAAUAAAAUCCGAGGUCUACACAAAAGAAAGCAAAACUCCCACUUACAAAGGAUACUUCAAGUUUAUAUUUAUAGGACUUUAAGGCGUUGUGCCCUCACAACAACUCUAUUGCAAUGGGUAGUACAGGUAUUAUUAUUAUUAUUCCCAUUUAUGGAUUAAAAACUUGAGGCACAGGUUAAGUGACUUGCUAACUGUGAACCAAGCCUUAAAAAUUUAUAUCUUCUGAUUCUAGAAACCCAUGUUUUUGUGUUUAUAUCACAGGCCAAUGGGGCAGUAAAUGGAGUACAAGGCCUGAAGUUAGGAAGACCUAAGUUCAAAUCCUGCCUCAGAAUUUGCCAGCUGUGUGACCCCGGAAAAGUCACUUAAUCUCCAUUUGCUUCAAUUUCCUCAUCUCUAAAAUGGGAAUUAUAAUAGCACCUACCUUCCAAAAUUGCUGUGAGGAUCAAAUGAGAUAAUAUUCGUAAAGGACUUAACCCACUAUCUGUCACAUAGGAGGGGUUUAAUAAAUACUUGUUCCCUUUCCCUAUCCAGUUCCCUUCUUUCUAUCAAAAACAGGAAUUUUGUUUUCUUUGACUAUGCUCCAUAACAAGACAGAAACACAAUAUGGAUCAGAUAAUCAUUAUUUUUUAUACUGGACAGAUGAAGAUGGAGUUGAGAGAUUUGAUGGAAGAGACCUCUCAAAUAUUUCCCAGUUCCCUGAGGAACUGAUAAAGCCUUAAAAGGAUCCAAAUGUGCAAAAAUGCUUGUGGCAGCCUUUUUUGUAGUGGCAAGAGACUAGAAACUGAGUAGAUGUUCAUCAAUUGGAGAAUGGAUAAAUAAGUUAUGGUAUAUGAAUGUUGUGGAAUAUUGUUAUUCUAUAAGAAAUGAUCAGCAAGAUGAUUUCAGAGAAGCUUGGAGAGACUUACAUGAAUUGAUACUAACUGAAGUGAGCAGAACCAGGAGAUCAUUAUAUAUGGGAACAACAAGAUUAUAUGAUGAUCAAUUCUGAUGGACGUGGCUCUUUUCAACAAUGAGAUGAUUUAAACCUGUUCCAAUGAUCUUGUAAUGAAGAGAGCCAUCUGCACCCAGAUAAAAGACAAUGAGAACUGAAUGUUACCACAACGUAAUAUUUUUACUUUUUUUGGUUGUUGUUUGCUUGCAUUUUGUUUUCUUUCUCAGUUUUUUUUCUCUUUGAUCUGAUUUUUCUUAUGCAGCAAGAGAAUUGUAUAAAUAUGUUUACACAUAUUAGAUUUAACAUAUAUUUUAACAUGUAUAACAUAUAUUGGAUUGCUUGGCAUCUAGGGGAGGAAGUAAGGGGAAGGAGGAGAAAAUCUGAAACACAAGGCUAUGCAAGGGUCAGUGUUGAAAAAUUAUCCUUGCAUAUGUUUUGAAAAUAAAAAGAUUUAAAAAUAGAAAAAGAAAUUGAUAAAGCUUGUAGUUUGUUUUCCUCUGUUUAUUUUUUAUCAAGUAAAUAAGGCUAAGGUCUCUUAGAAUCCCAAAUUUCCUUUAAGACUUAAAUCUAGCACCAUCUGCUAAUGUUACCCUGCCCCCUCCAAUCAUUUUGAGUCUAUUUUGUAUUUAUUUUAAAUAGAAAUAUGUAAUCAGCCUGCUAUACUUCUAUAUGUACAUUUGGUUUUCUCCAGUAGCCUGUGAAUCAUUGAAGGCAAGGAUUCCUUUUACUUUAAUCUCUAUAAUGACAUUCCCUUGCACAAAAUAGGCAAUAAUUUUUAAC
This is a long non-coding RNA of Sarcophilus harrisii (Tasmanian devil), 3489 nucleotides long. The record is from Ensembl. NCBI's taxonomy places the organism in Eukaryota, Metazoa, Chordata, Mammalia, Dasyuromorphia, Dasyuridae.